GAUAUGCGUUGAUGCGGGAGGUUGCCGCCGUAAAGCCGAAGGGCUGGCGGGUUUUUCCGCGGAGUAUGUCCGAUCUUAGAACCGGGCGA
Non-coding RNA from Subdoligranulum sp. 60_17, 89 nucleotides. The record is from Rfam. Lineage: Bacteria; Bacillati; Bacillota; Clostridia; Eubacteriales; Oscillospiraceae.